AGUGAACGCUGGCGGUAGGCCUAACACAUGCAAGUCGAACGGCAGCACAGUAAGAGCUUGCUCUUACGGGUGGCGAGUGGCGGACGGGUGAGGAAUACAUCGGAAUCUACUUUUUCGUGGGGGAUAACGUAGGGAAACUUACGCUAAUACCGCAUACGACCUACGGGUGAAAGCAGGGGAUCUUCGGACCUUGCGCGAUUGAAUGAGCCGAUGUCGGAUUAGCUAGUUGGCGGGGUAAAGGCCAACCAAGGCGACGAUCCGUAGCUGGUCUGAGUGGAUGGUCGGCCACACGGGAACUGGAACACGGUCCAGGCUACUAUGGGAGGCAGCAGUGGGGAAUAGUGGACAGUGGGCGGAAGCCUGAUCCAGCCAUACCGAGUGGGUGAAGAAGACCUUCGGGUUGUAAAGCCCUUUUGUUGGGAAAGAAAAGCAGCAGGUUAAUACCCCGCGGUUCUGACGGUACCCAAAGAAUAAGCACCGGCUAACUUCGUG
This 492-nucleotide ribosomal RNA is filed under the name uncultured bacterium. RNAcentral's name for it is "partial 16S ribosomal RNA". It matches the Rfam family "Bacterial small subunit ribosomal RNA", at positions 29 to 507 of the family's 1533-position model. The record is from RNAcentral.